RNAcentral lists this ribosomal RNA (253 nucleotides) under uncultured bacterium. RNAcentral describes it as "partial 16S ribosomal RNA". It matches the Rfam family "Bacterial small subunit ribosomal RNA", at positions 524 to 776 of the family's 1533-position model. The record is from RNAcentral.
UACGUAGGGGGCAAGCGUUGUCCGGAUUUACUGGGCGUAAAGGGCUCGCAGGCGGUUUUGCAAGUCAGGGGUGAAAUCUUGGGGCUUAACUCUGGAACUGCAUUUGAUACGGCAUAGCUUGUGUGCGGUAGAGGAGGAUGGAAUUCCUGGUGUAGCAGUGAAAUGCGUAGAUAUCAGGAAGAACACCAGUGGCGAAGGCGGGCAGCUGGGCCGCUACAGACGCUGAGGAGCGAAAGCGUGGGGAGCAAACAGG